Molecule: ribosomal RNA, 344 nt
Filed under: uncultured bacterium
Lineage: Bacteria
Description: bacterial SSU rRNA
Rfam family: Bacterial small subunit ribosomal RNA
Source: RNAcentral
AGGGUUCGAUUCUGGCUCAGGAUGAACGCUGGCGGCGUGCCUAACACAUGCAAGUCGAGCGAAGUGGUUUUAAGGAAGUUUUCGGAUGGAAUUAAAACUGACUGAGCGGCGGACGGGUGAGUAACGCGUGGGUAACCUGCCUCAUACAGGGGGAUAACAGUUAGAAAUGGCUGCUAAUACCGCAUAAGCACACAGCUUCGCAUGGAGCAGUGUGAAAAACUCCGGUGGUAUGAGAUGGACCCGCGUCUGAUUAGCUAGUUGGUAAGGUAACGGCUUACCAAGGCGACGAUCAGUAGCCGACCUGAGAGGGUGACCGGCCACAUUGGGACUGAGACACGGCCCAA